AGAGUUUGAUCCUGGCUCAGAUUGAACGCUGGCGGAAUGCUUUACACAUGCAAGUCGAGCGGCAGCGCGGGGCAACCUGGCGGCGAGCGGCGAACGGGUGAGUAACAUAUCGGAACGUGUCCUUGGGUGGGGGAUAACUACUCGAAAGAGUAGCUAAUACCGCAUACGAUCGGGAGAUGAAAGCGGGGGAUCGCAAGACCUCGCGCCCAAGGAGUGGCCGAUAUCAGAUUAGCUAGUUGGUGGGGUAAAAGCCCACCAAGGCGACGAUCUGUAGCUGGUCUGAGAGGACGACCAGCCACACUGGAACUGAGACACGGUCCAGACUCCUACGGGAGGCAGCAGUGGGGAAUUUUGGACAAUGGGCGCAAGCCUGAUCCAGCAAUGCCGCGUGCAGGAUGAAGGCCUUCGGGUUGUAAACUGCUUUUGUACGGAACGAAACGGUGAGCUCUAAUAAAGUUUGCUAAUGACGGUACCGUAAGAAUAAGCACCGGCUAACUACGUGCCAGCAGCCGCGGUAAUACGUAGGGUGCAAGCGUUAAUCGGAAUUACUGGGCGUAAAGCGUGCGCAGGCGGUUAUAUAAGACAGUUGUGAAAUCCCCGGGCUCAACCUGGGAAUUGCAUCUGUGACUGUAUAGCUAGAGUACGGUAGAGGGGGAUGGAAUUCCGCGUGUAGCAGUGAAAUGCGUAGAUAUGCGGAGGAACACCGAUGGCGAAGGCAAUCCCCUGGACCUGUACUGACGCUCAUGCACGAAAGCGUGGGGAGCAAACAGGAUUAGAUACCCUGGUAGUCCACGCCCUAAACGAUGUCAACUGGUUGUUGGGUGCAUUAGUACUCAGUAAACGAAGCUAACGCGUGAAGUGACCCGCCUGGA
This 872-nucleotide ribosomal RNA is filed under the name uncultured bacterium. RNAcentral describes it as "bacterial SSU rRNA". It matches the Rfam family "Bacterial small subunit ribosomal RNA", at positions 9 to 873 of the family's 1533-position model. The record is from RNAcentral.